UGGGGAAUAUUGCACAAUGGGCGCAAGCCUGAUGCAGCCAUGCCGGGUGUGUGAAGAAGGCCUUCGGGUUGUAAAGCACUUUCAGCGGGGAGGAAGGCGAUAAGGUUAAUAACCUUGUCGAUUGACGUUACCCGCAGAAGAAGCACCGGCUAACUCCGUGCCAGCAGCCGCGGUAAUACGGAGGGUGCAAGCGUUAAUCGGAAUUACUGGGCGUAAAGCGCACGCAGGCGGUCUGUCAAGUCGGAUGUGAAAUCCCCGGGCUUAACCUGGGAACUGCAUUCGAAACUGGCAGGCUAGAGUCUUGUAGAGGGGGGUAGAAUUCCAGGUGUAGCGGUGAAAUGCGUAGAGAUCUGGAGGAAUACCGGUGGCGAAGGCGGCCCCCUGGACAAAGACUGACGCUCAGGUGCGAAAGCGUGGGGAGCAAACAGG
RNAcentral lists this ribosomal RNA (429 nucleotides) under Chloroflexota bacterium. RNAcentral's name for it is "Chloroflexi bacterium partial 16S ribosomal RNA". It matches the Rfam family "Bacterial small subunit ribosomal RNA", at positions 355 to 776 of the family's 1533-position model. The record is from RNAcentral. Lineage: Bacteria; Bacillati; Chloroflexota.